UUUUAAAUUAAAAAACAAUUAAUAGUAGAAACUAAUUUGAAGACCAAAUCAUUACUCAAGAUUGACCUAUGAAUUUUGUUAUACCCUUGGACGCUUCAUUAUAAUUUAUACAAAACUAAAUUGGCAACAGCUAACAAACGACAAUGCUAAGAUAAAUUGAAAGUUAUUAAAUAGCUUGAAAAUUGAAUCCGACUCAUCUGCAUCGAUCCAAGCCAUUGGUUCUCUGAUUUCUCAGCCUCCGACGAAAAUCGAAGCCCAUGGUUCACGAUAUCAGGAUUUUAGUUCGACAUGUUAGUAAAGAUGCCAACAAAUGUGCAGACUGCUGGUUCUUUCUUGUGUUUCCGAGUGACUGAUCCUCCUGAUCAGCUUGUUAUUGUUGGGUAGAGAUCGUAACCGUUUCUUCUCAGUUUUCCCAAUUUUGCUCAAAAAAUCUGACAGGUCCAAGUUUCAGGUGAUACUGCUCAUUGAUUUCUCUACUCAGCAUGUUCCUGUAAGAUAGAAAAUUACCUAUCAAUAACAAUAAUAAUUAGAAACGCAAUCUCUCCAUAGUCUUAGUCAUGAAAACCUAUAUAGCUUCCUGUAAAAACCAAACAUGCUUAAUGAAAAGUCAAAAGGUGGGCGCAGCCUUACCUGAGAGAGCAUUUGUUCAACUUGGAAUCACCAUCAGUCCACAUUUCAUUAACAAGAUAAGUAAAGCCACUCCUCUAUUGAGGAAAUGCCUGUAAAGAACUUCAAAGAAAACAGUAACUUUUUUCCUAAUUCAAAUUGCUGAGGGACAUUCCAAGCCAAAACAUGAUUAUAUCAAGGCUUAUAACAAUUUCUAUAUCAUCCCUGGCCAAAAGGAAAGAAUAUGCCAUAACAGAAAAAGGACUUGGGCAUUUCAUUGUCAUAUGCUUUAGAAGGUCUAAUUCAGCUGAUUAAAAAGAACAUUAGUUUGAUGGUGAUGAAAAACCAUGAUAUCUAGUCAACUGAUAAUUACAGGAUAGAAAUAUCAAUGCGUCACAUAAUUUUCAACCCACAACUACUUAUCCAUAUCAAAUUUUCUUUAAUGUAGCAUCACAUUUUCCAAUUUACAUGGAAAGAUAAGAUCUUCCUGGAAUUAUUCCAAUGAUUAUGUAAUCUGCCAUACCAUAUAUAGAUUCCCCAAAAACUUCAGUUACAAUUGUUUCAAACUAGGGUGGAAGAUGUAAACAAUACCUGACAGGAACAAGAACCAUAGCCAUCAUUCUAAAAUCAAAGCUGUUUUAUUUCAUUGAUAAGGCAUGUGAAGAAAAAGAAAAUCAGAUUAAUGAAAAACUGGGUAAAUUUCCUAAAACAGUGACCUCCUACUUGUAUCUAAUUUUACAUUGUACUGUAUAAACAUGUAUCCCUUCAAC
RNAcentral lists this unclassified non-coding RNA (1376 nucleotides) under Hevea brasiliensis (rubber tree). The record is from RNAcentral. Lineage: Eukaryota; Viridiplantae; Streptophyta; Magnoliopsida; Malpighiales; Euphorbiaceae.